RNAcentral lists this ribosomal RNA (389 nucleotides) under Syndiniales sp. RNAcentral describes it as "partial small subunit ribosomal RNA". It matches the Rfam family "Eukaryotic small subunit ribosomal RNA", at positions 582 to 975 of the family's 1831-position model. The record is from RNAcentral. Lineage: Eukaryota; Dinophyceae; Syndiniales.
AUUCCAGCUCCAAUAGCGUAUAUUAAAGUUGUUGCGGUUAAAAAGCUCGUAGUUGGAGUUCUGCCAGGUGCCACCUGUCCGCCCCAGUGGUGAGUACGUGGUGCGCAUUUGGCCCUUUCAAGGGGAGCGUAUUUGCACUUAAUUGUGUGGUGCGGGAUCCUUGACUUUUACUUUGAGGAAAUAAGAGUGUUCCAAGCAGGCUCUCGUCGUGCAUAGCUCAGCAUGGAAUAAUAGCAUUGGAUCUCGAUCCCAAACUGUUGGUUGUAGGAAACGAGAUAAUGAUGAAGAGGGAUAGUUGGGGGCAUUCGUAUUUAACUGUCAGAGGUGAAAUUCUUGGAUUUGUUAAAGACGAACUACUGCGAAAGCAUCUGCCAUGGAUGUUUUCAUUA